GAUGAACGCUGGCGGCGUGCUUAACACAUGCAAGUCGGACGAUGAAGCCGGAGCUUGCUCUGGUGAAUUAGUGGCGAACGGGUGAGUAACACGUGAGUAACCUGCCCUUGACUCUGGGAUAACUGCGGGAAACUGUAGCUAAUACCGGAUACGACCCUCGGAGGCAUCUCCUGGGGGUGGAAAGAAUUUCGGUCAAGGAUGGACUCGCGGCCUAUCAGCUAGUUGGUGAGGUAAAGGCUCACCAAGGCGACGACGGGUAGCCGGCCUGAGAGGGUGACAGGCCACACUGGGACUGAGACACGGCCCAGACUCCUACGGGAGGCAGCAGUGGGGAAUAUUGCACAAUGGGCGCAAGCCUGAUGCAGCAACGCCGCGUGAGGGAUGACGGCCUUCGGGUUGUAAACCUCUUUUAGCAGGGAAGAAGCGAAAGUGACGGUACCUGCAGAAAAAGCACCGGCUAACUACGUGCCAGCAGCCGCGGUAA
RNAcentral lists this ribosomal RNA (484 nucleotides) under uncultured bacterium. RNAcentral describes it as "partial 16S ribosomal RNA". It matches the Rfam family "Bacterial small subunit ribosomal RNA", at positions 28 to 523 of the family's 1533-position model. The record is from RNAcentral.